RNAcentral lists this ribosomal RNA (490 nucleotides) under uncultured bacterium. RNAcentral's name for it is "partial 16S ribosomal RNA". It matches the Rfam family "Bacterial small subunit ribosomal RNA", at positions 30 to 507 of the family's 1533-position model. The record is from RNAcentral.
AUUGAACGCUGGCGGCAGGCCUAACACAUGCAAGUCGAACGGUAACAGGGAUCAGCUUGCUGAUUCGCUGACGACUGGCGGACGAGUGAGCAAUGUCUGGGCAACCGCCUGGGGUAGGGGGAUAACUACUGGAAACGGUCGCUAAUACCGCAUAACGUCGCAAGGCCAAAGCGGGGGACCUUCCGGCCUCUUGCCAUCGGAUGUGCCCAGAUGGGAUUAGCUAGUAGGUGGGGUAACGGCUCACCUAGGCGACGAUCCCUAGCUGGUCUGAGAGGAUGACCAGCCACACUGGAACUGAGACACGGUCCAGACUCCUACGGGAGGCAGCAGUGGGGAAUGUUGGACAAUGGGCGCAAGCCUGAUCCAGCCAUGCCGCGUGUAUGAAGAAGGCCUUCGGGUUGUAAAGUACUUUCAGCCGGAACGAAGGGAGUAAAGUUAAUACCUUGGCUUAAUGACGGUACCGUCAGAAGAAGCACCGGCUAACUCCGUG